This 73-nucleotide transfer RNA is filed under the name Mus musculus (house mouse). Its description in RNAcentral is "tRNA-Asn". The record is from RNAcentral. Lineage: Eukaryota; Metazoa; Chordata; Mammalia; Rodentia; Muridae.
GGCUGGAGAGGGCUCAGCGGUGAAGAGCACUGACUGUUCCUCCAGAAGUCCUGAGUUCAAUUCCCAGCAACCA